RNAcentral lists this ribosomal RNA (492 nucleotides) under uncultured bacterium. RNAcentral describes it as "partial 16S ribosomal RNA". It matches the Rfam family "Bacterial small subunit ribosomal RNA", at positions 29 to 507 of the family's 1533-position model. The record is from RNAcentral.
AGUGAACGCUGGCGGUAGGCCUAACACAUGCAAGUCGAACGGCAGCACAGUAAGAGCUUGCUCUUACGGGUGGCGAGUGGCGGACGGGUGAGGAAUACAUCGGAAUCUACUUUUUCGUGGGGGAUAACGUAGGGAAACUUACGCUAAUACCGCAUACGACCUACGGGUGAAAGCAGGGGAUCUUCGGACCUUGCGCGAUUGAAUGAGCCGAUGUCGGAUUAGCUAGUUGGCGGGGUAAAGGCCCACCAAGGCGACGAUCCGUAGCUGGUCUGAGAGGAUGAUCAGCCACACUGGAACUGAGACACGGUCCAGACUCCUACGGGAGGCAGCAGUGGGGAAUAUUGGACAAUGGGAGCAAGCCUGAUCCAGCCAUACCGCGUGGGUGAAGAAGGCCUUAGGGUUGUAAAGCCCUUUUGUUGGGAAAGAAAAGCAGCAGGUUAAUACCCCGCUGCUCUGACGGUACCCAAAGAAUAAGCACCGGCUAACUUCGUG